Non-coding RNA from Cheilinus undulatus (humphead wrasse), 904 nucleotides. NCBI's taxonomy places the organism in Eukaryota, Metazoa, Chordata, Actinopteri, Labriformes, Labridae. The record is from the annotation of a RefSeq genome assembly.
UGCAAAGUGAGCUGUGUUCCUCCUCUACUUCUGUGACUGCAGAGAGGAUGACAGAGAACAGUGGACACACAGUUGAACAUGAUGGACUAUAGGACAGGACUGCUGCUUUUAACUGUCUGCUGGGCAGGUGUUGAUGCUCAGACUCUGACAGAGUCUGAACCAGUGGUUAAAAGUCCUGGACAAUCCCACACACUGACCUGUUAUGCUUCUGGGUUCACAUUCAGCAGCUACUGGAUGGCUUGGGUCAGACAGGCUCCUGGACAAGGACUGGAGUGGAUCGCAGCUAUCAGUCAUGGUGGUGGCAGCUACAAAUACUACUCUGACUCAGUCAGAGGCCGGUUCACCAUCUCCAGAGACGACAGCAGACGACAGCUGUAUCUGCAGAUGAACAGUCUGAAGGCUGAAGACUCUGCUGUGUAUUACUGUGCCAGAGAGUCACAGUGACACAACUACCAGCAGAGCUGAACAAAAACCCCUUGAAGUCUGAACACCUGAACAUGAAGCCACCAGAGGAGGCACUCUAAGACCAGAAAUCAUUAAAUGAGCAGUAAAACUGUUAAGAGACUAAAUAUCAUCUGAUUGAUCACAUCAGAUAUUUAACUUUAAAUACAGAAACUAUCAACAUAGAAAUGUGGGAACCCAAAAUGGCUGAGCUAAUAAUUUGAGGAUUUGAUAUUUAUCAUGACAGUACUCAAACAUUAUUUCUGUAACUCCUGAACUCUGUCAUGGCCAUGCUAGGAUGUGUGAUAUGAAUUUUGUUGCAAGGUAUGUUGAAUUUAUAAAUGAAGACAUCCUUUCUGGUUGGUCGCUAUGCAGUGAACUCAUUGCACUACAUAAACUAAUAGUUGUGUGUGUAAAAGAAAAUAUGUCUGACUCCCAUGACUGAGUUAUGUUGGAAGUUAGA